CCAAUCGAACGUGGAGAUAGCUGGUUCUCCCCGAAAUAGCUUUAGGGCUAGCCUCGAGGUAGAGAUUGCAGGCGGUAGAGCACUGAUCAGGAGAGGGGCCUACCCGGCUACCAAACCCAGUCAAACUACGAAUGGCUGCAAUUAUACUCGGGAGUCAGACUACGACUUAUAAGGGCCGUGGUCAAAAGGGAAACAGCCCAGAUCAUCAGCUAAGGUCCCAAAUGCCGUGCUAAGUGGCGAAGGAUGUGGCGUUUCAUAAACAACCAGGAUGUUGGCUCAGAAGCAGCCACCAUUUAAAGAGUGCGUAAUAGCUCACUGGUCGAGAGACGCUGCGCCGAAAAUGUCCGGGGCUCAAGCACGGAACCGAAGCUAUGGCAUGAUAGCAAUAUCAUGGGUAGGGGAGCGUUCUUAACAGGAAGAAGCAUGACCGAAAGGACAUGUGGACCGUUAAGAAGUGAGAAUGCCGGUAUGAGUAUCGAAAAGAAAGGUGAGAAUCCUUUCCACCGAAAGCCCGAGGGUUCCUGAGCAACGAUCGUCGUCUCAGGGUAAGUCGGGACCUAAGCCGAGGCGGAGACGCAUAGGCGAUGGACAACAGGUUGAAAUUCCUGUACCGGAUACAAUCGUUUGAGCGAUGGAGCGACGCAGAAAGGCAUAUGAUCGCGCGACUGGAAGAGCGCGUCCAAGUGCGUAUGUUGAAUCGGAGGCAAAUCCCUGAUUCUGAAAGCAGAGACACGAUGGGGAGUUAUACGAAAGUAUGACGAACUCAUAGAUCCUACACUGCCAAGAAAAACUUCUAGUGAGAAAGUAUCCGCCCGUACCGUAAACCGACACAGGUAGGCGGGGAGAGAAUCCUAAGGUGCGCGGGAAAACCCUCGUUAAGGAACUCGGCAAAUUGCAUCCGUAACUUAGGGAGAAGGAUGACCUUAAGUAAGCGAAAGGGAGAAACCCCUGGAACAGAACAAGGUGGCAGAAAAGAGGCCCAAGCAACUGUUUACCAAAAACACAGGUGCCUGCGAAAGCGAAAGCUGAAGUAUAGGUGCUGACGCCUGCCCGGUGCUGGAAGGUUAAGGAGAGAUGUCAGAGCAAUCGAAGCAUUGAACUGAAGCCCCAGUGAACGGCGGCCGUAACUAUAACGGUCCUAAGGUAGCGAAAUUCCUUGUCGGGUAAGUUCCGACCCGCAUGAAAGGCGUAAUGAUUUGGGCACUGUCUCAACGAGGGGCCCGGUGAAAUUGAAAUACCUGUGAAGAUGCAGGUUACCCGCGACUGGACAGAAAGACCCCAUGGAGCUUCACUGCAGCUUGAGAUUGAAUCUCGGUGAUGCAUGCACAGGAUAGGUGGGAGACUAAGAAGUAUGGGCUUUGGCUUAUACCGAGUCGAUGUUGGGAUACCACCCUUGUAUUGCUGAGAUUCUAACACGGAGGCUAACAACCUCGUGGACCAUCUCAGGUAGGCGGUUUGACUGGGGCGGUCGCCUCCGAAAGAGUAACGGAGGCGCCCAAAGGUUCCCUCAGGUCGGACAGAAACCGACCGAAGAGUGCAAAGGCAGAAGGGAGCUUGACUGCGAGACAGACAAGUCGAGCAGAGACGAAAGUCGGGCUUAGUGAUCCGGUGGUACUGAGUGGAAAGGCCAUCGCUCAACGGAUAAAAGCUACCCUGGGGAUAACAGGCUAAUCUCUCCCAAGAGUUCAUAUCGACGGGGAGGUUUGGCACCUCGAUGUCGGCUCAUCACAUCCUGGAGCUGGAGUAGGUUCCAAGGGUUGGGCUGUUCGCCCAUUAAAGUGGUACGCGAGCUGGGUUCAAAACGUCGUGAGACAGUUUGGUUCAUAUCCAUCGCGGGCGCAAGAAGUUUGAGGGAGGCUGCUCCUAGUACGAGAGGACCGGAGUGGACGGAUCAACGGUGUACCAGUUGUCACGCCAGUGGCACGGCUGGAAAGCCGCAUCCGGAAAGGAUAAACGCUGAAAGCAUCUAAGCGUGAAGCCCGUCCCGAGAUGAGACUUCUCAUCAGCAAUGAGUAAGACCCCUUAAAGACGAUGAGGUUGAUAGGCUGUGAGUGGAAGGCCCGUAAGGGUUGGAGCGACGCAGUACUAAUAGGUCGAGGUCUUAACUUG
This 2109-nucleotide ribosomal RNA is filed under the name human gut metagenome. RNAcentral describes it as "bacterial LSU rRNA". It matches the Rfam family "Bacterial large subunit ribosomal RNA", at positions 829 to 2925 of the family's 2925-position model. The record is from RNAcentral.